CCAGGCGCCCUCGGACACAACUUUUCCUUGAGGUUCCCCGUAGAGCUACGGCCACAUGUUGCAUGUGUCCGAAGCCCUAAAGAAUCACAUCCUGUGACCACGAUCUGUCGGAACUCGGCCCAGAUGUUCUUGACAUGAGCAAGAGAAGUCUAUGGAGUCAUUUUACCCAAAAGAAUAGGAAGAUCGGCCUGGAGGUGUACCUGUCUUGGACAUCAGCAAAAGCAGCCUAUGUGUCAUCUGCUGUAUGCUGAGUUGCCGUCGCAGCACACAGCAGGAGGAAUCGCUCCUUUUUCUCAUGAUCGCAGGAAUGAAUCUGGUAUUUAGAUUCGCCCAAAGUCACCAGCAGAAACAAGCCAGCUAAUUGAGCAAGAUGUAUUCUCAUAAUGUAAAUGAUUUGAAACAAUAAAGAAUUCAAUUACUAUCCAA
Frankliniella occidentalis (western flower thrips) is the source of this 426-nucleotide long non-coding RNA. RefSeq lists it as uncharacterized. NCBI's taxonomy places the organism in Eukaryota, Metazoa, Arthropoda, Insecta, Thysanoptera, Thripidae. The record is from RefSeq and is a predicted model, not a curated record. The transcript has 4 exons.